RNAcentral lists this ribosomal RNA (83 nucleotides) under Bacteroidota bacterium. Lineage: Bacteria; Pseudomonadati; Bacteroidota. The record is from RNAcentral.
CUUCCCAUUCCGAACAGAGAAGUUAAGCCUGCCAGCGCCGAUGAUACUGCCAUACCCGGUGGAAAAGUAGGUCGUUGCCAAUC